AGGAAUCUCCAGAAGAAUUAGACAUCCUGUCUUAUAGAUGCUUAUUCAUAAAAGAGUGGGGAGAGCCUGAAGGUGUAAAAUGUGUUAUUUGCCACCUUUAAAACUUCUCCAUGGUGCUGAGAGGUCCAUCAGUCAAACUGCCACAUUUUACAGAUGAGGUUGAGCUGAAAGCCUGACCCACCGCGUGCUCCAGCGCAGCCUUCUCAGGGUUCGGCUUUGGAGUGGGGAGUGCGGUACAAGGCCUUACCGGGCAUUUGCUCAGCUAAAAAUAAAGCGAAGCUGGCUUCUGUCUGCUAUCACUCCUUAUACGUAUUGCACUCCAGCCUGGGCAACAGAGUGAAACUCGGUCUAAAAAAAAAAAAAAAAUCUCAUAUGCUAGAGUUGUCACCUGGCAAAAUAAAUUUGGAGCUAAUAGCCAGGACCUUGAGAGGAUUUUGUUCCUUGGCUGAAUGCAAAUCCUUGCCAUUUAGUGAAAACAGCAGGACUUCAAGAAGCAGCAAAUCCACAUCACAUCCAUCAUCUUCAACUCCCACCAUGAGCUUGUCCCAUAUGUAAAAAUUAAAUCCAAGAGAAACUUAAUAUUUAGGAGCUGAUAUUCUCUUAACUCCUUUUUUUCCUUUUUCUUUUUUUUAUUUUUUUAUUUUUAGGGUCUCACUCUGUCACCCAGACUGGAGUGCUGUGGCACGAUUGUAGCUUACUGUGACCUCAAACUCCUGGGUUCAAGCAAUCCUCCCACCUCAGCCUCUCAAAUAGCUGAGACUAUGGGCACACACCAUUGUGCCCAGCUAAUUUUUUUUAU
RNAcentral lists this long non-coding RNA (799 nucleotides) under Homo sapiens (human). RNAcentral describes it as "non-protein coding lnc-SUMO4-5:2". The record is from RNAcentral. Lineage: Eukaryota; Metazoa; Chordata; Mammalia; Primates; Hominidae.